GACGAACGCUGGCGGCGUGCCUAACACAUGCAAGUCGAACGGAAAGGCCCUGCUCUUGCGGGGUGCUCGAGUGGCGAACGGGUGAGUAACACGCGAGUAAACUGCACUUGACAUUGGGAUAACUUCAGGAAACUGGGGCUAAUAUCGGAUAGGAGCUACUGCUGCACGGUGGGGGUUGGUAAGAUUCGGCGGUUGGGGAUGGACUCGCGGCUUACCAGCUUGUUGGGGGGGUAGUGGCUUACCAAGGCUUCGAAGGGUAGCCGGCCUGGGAGGGUAACCGGGCACAUUGGGACUGAGAUACGGCCCAGACGCGUACGUGAGGCAGCAGUGGGGAAUAUUGCGCAGUAGGCGGAAGCCAGAGACAGCGACGCCGCGUUCGGGAUGACGUCCUUCGGGUUGUAAACCGCUUUCGCCGGUGACGAGGCGUUAGUGACGGUAAUGAGUAAGAAAGCACCGGCUAACUACGUG
This 468-nucleotide ribosomal RNA is filed under the name uncultured bacterium. RNAcentral describes it as "partial 16S ribosomal RNA". It matches the Rfam family "Bacterial small subunit ribosomal RNA", at positions 28 to 507 of the family's 1533-position model. The record is from RNAcentral.